RNAcentral lists this ribosomal RNA (222 nucleotides) under uncultured bacterium. Its description in RNAcentral is "partial 16S ribosomal RNA". It matches the Rfam family "Bacterial small subunit ribosomal RNA", at positions 109 to 334 of the family's 1533-position model. The record is from RNAcentral.
GGUAAUGUCUGGGAAACUGCCCGAUGGAGGGGGAUAACUACUGGAAACGGUAGCUAAUACCGCAUAACGUCGCAAGACCAAAGAGGGGGACCUUAGGGCCUCUUGCCAUCGGAUGUGCCCAGAUGGGAUUAGCUAGUAGGUGGGGUAAUGGCUCACCUAGGCGACGAUCCCUAGCUGGUCUGAGAGGAUGACCAGCCACACUGGAACUGAGACACGGUCCAG